CCUACGGGAGGCAGCAGUGAGGAAUAUUGGUCAAUGGGCGAGAGCCUGAACCAGCCAAGUCGCGUGAGGGAGUACUGCCCUAUGGGUUGUAAACCUCUUUUGUCGGGGAGCAAAAGCCGGACGUGUCCGUCUGUGAGAGUACCCGAAGAAAAAGCAUCGGCUAACUCCGUGCCAGCAGCCGCGGUAAUACGGAGGAUGCGAGCGUUAUCCGGAUUUACUGGGUGUAAAGGGAGCGUAGGCGGUUUAGCAAGUCAGAAGUGAAAGCCCGGGGCUCAACUCCGGGACUGCUUUUGAAACUGUUGAAC
This 305-nucleotide ribosomal RNA is filed under the name uncultured bacterium. RNAcentral describes it as "bacterial SSU rRNA". It matches the Rfam family "Bacterial small subunit ribosomal RNA", at positions 338 to 641 of the family's 1533-position model. The record is from RNAcentral.